Molecule: long non-coding RNA, 1175 nt
Filed under: Bemisia tabaci
Lineage: Eukaryota; Metazoa; Arthropoda; Insecta; Hemiptera; Aleyrodidae
Description: lncRNA ENSSSA1UGG001488
Source: RNAcentral
GGAAGGGGGGGGGCGGUGUCUGGAAGCAAGUGACAUCCAGGUGACAGAGGGAGAAGGAGAGGUCAAAGGUCAAAAGUCGGGAAAAAUGGGUUCCGUAAUUCAUGAAUGGACCCUCACUACUUUUCAGCAAACAAGGAAAGUGAUGAAAAGUGCAAGAUGCUUUGCCAUAAAUCCAACCCUCAUUAGUUAUUGUUAACAUUGGUUUUCAGGUCAAUAAAGGCAUUUUCUUUUGUGCGAGUGUGCCGCUUUCACCCGGGGAAUCCCAAAAUGUAGGGAUAUUUUGGAAAUCGAGGCCACUCUUUUGUCUUCCAGAAGAACAAGGAAAACGUUGGCGAACUCGAAGGCUCGGGACUUCUGAUAGUUCGGUCAGUUGAAGUUGAGCAGUUGUCGGGUGUGAGCUGGAGUGUGAAAGGAUAGAAAGAUCGGAAAAAUUUAUUUUUAGAUUCUUGUGCUUCCAAUUUUGAGUAUUGUGAAAUACGUUUUGAUAUGUUAGCGGAAAUUACAUUCAUAUCUGGACGGCGUGUGAUAAACGUGUGAUUGAAGUGCGUUACCUUCAGUGUAGUUUCGUGUUCGGUAUUUCAUUAUAGUAGUUUUUCUCGGUGAACUAACCUGUAAAUAUAGAAGGUGCAGUGAAAAGUUGAACAUCCUCUUUUUCCGCUAGUUUUCUAUCCGCCGAUAGUUUUAGUCUUCGAACCUCUAGUUUUUCAGUCCAGUUCAGUAGUGUGCUAUGUUUUACAGUCAGUGGAGUCAGUUAUUUGUCACUCGAAAUUCCUGGUUUUCUACAGUAUCUCUGGUCUAUUUUAUCGCUUUUUUCCUUAAAAAUUUGAAGUUGGCAUACAUUUCGCAAGAAAAAAUUAUCAUCAGAAUGUCUCAGAAUGUUGAUAAAUUAUUAUUUUGACUUCAAAUGUCUCGAAAUUUCUAGUUUUCUACAGUAUUAUGGUCUGUUUUAUUGCUUUGUUUGAUAACUUGAAGUUGAUUAAAAUUUAACAGAAAGAACUAUCAUUUCUAGCUCAGCCACAAAAGAACGUUUCUAUCAGGGGUAGUAAGUUUUUUCCGCAAAAUACAGUUCGAACAAUGUCUCAUGCCCCUCUCCUGAGCACUUUUAAUGUAUGAAUAAGACUUAUACUAAAUUAAAAUUCUAAGCACUGGCACGCAAACUGUUUAUAACAUUCCAC